Small nuclear RNA from Fukomys damarensis (Damara mole-rat), 107 nucleotides. Lineage: Eukaryota; Metazoa; Chordata; Mammalia; Rodentia; Bathyergidae. The record is from Ensembl.
GUGCUCACUUCAGCAGCACGUAUACUAAAACUGGAAUGACACAGAGAAGAUUAGCGUGGUCCCUGUGCAAGGACACCAUGCAAAUCCGUGAAGCGUUCUAUAUUAAA